Molecule: ribosomal RNA, 434 nt
Filed under: uncultured bacterium
Lineage: Bacteria
Description: partial 16S ribosomal RNA
Rfam family: Bacterial small subunit ribosomal RNA
Source: RNAcentral
CUCUAACUCUGGCGGCAGGCCUAACACAUGCAAGUCGAACGAACCUUUCGGGGUUAGUGGCGGACGGGUGCGUAACACGUGGGAACGUGCCUUUAGGUUCGGCAUAACUCAGGGAAACUUGUGCUAAUACCGCAUGUGCCCUUCGGGGGAAAGAUUUAUCGCCUUUAGAGCGGCCCGCGUCUGAUUAGCUAGUUGGGUGAGGUAAUGGCUCACCAAGGCGACGAUCAGUAGCUGGUCUGAGAGGAUGAUCAGCCACAUUGGGACUGAGACACGGCCCAAACUCCUACGGGAGGUAGCAGUGGGGAAUCUUGCGCAAUGGGCGAAAGCCUGACGCAGCCAUGCCGCGUGAAUGAUGAAGGUCUUAGGAUUGUAAAAUUCUUUCACCGGGGACGAUAAUGACGGUACCCGGAGAAGAAGCCCCGGCUAACUUCGUG